This 112-nucleotide ribosomal RNA is filed under the name Caerostris darwini. Lineage: Eukaryota; Metazoa; Arthropoda; Arachnida; Araneae; Araneidae. The record is from RNAcentral.
AACGGCCGUACCAUGCUGAAUAUACCGGUUCUCGUUAGAUCACCGAAGUCAAGCAUCAUUGGGCGCGAUCAGUAUUUGGGUGGGUGACCACCUGGGAACACCGCGUGCCGUU